GAUGAACGCUGGCGGCGUGCCUAAUACAUGCAAGUCGAGCGAACAGACGAGGAGCUUGCUCCUCUGUCGGUAGCGGCGAACGGGUUAGUAACACGUGGAUAACCUACCUAUAAGACUGGGAUAACUUCUGGAAACCGGAUCUAAUACCGGAUAAUCUAUUGAACCACAUUGUUCAAUAGUGAAAGACGGUUUUGCUUGCGCUUAUAGAUGGAUCCGGGCCGCGUUAGAUAGUUGGUAAGGUAACGGCUUACCAAGGCAACGAGGCGUAGCCGACCUGAUGGGGUGGUCAGCCACACUGGAACGGAGACACGGUCCAGACUACUACGGGAGGCAGCAGAGGGGAAUGUUCCGCAAUGGGCGAAAGCCUGAAGGAGCACAGCCGCGUGGGGGAUGAGAGUCUUCGGAUAGUAAAACUAUGUUAUUAGGGAAGAAGAAAUGUGUAAGUAACUAUGAACGUCUUGACGGUACCUAAUCAGAAAGCAACGGCUAACUCCGUG
RNAcentral lists this ribosomal RNA (497 nucleotides) under uncultured bacterium. RNAcentral describes it as "partial 16S ribosomal RNA". It matches the Rfam family "Bacterial small subunit ribosomal RNA", at positions 28 to 507 of the family's 1533-position model. The record is from RNAcentral.